This 330-nucleotide ribosomal RNA is filed under the name uncultured eukaryote. Its description in RNAcentral is "partial 18S ribosomal RNA". It matches the Rfam family "Eukaryotic small subunit ribosomal RNA", at positions 1470 to 1796 of the family's 1831-position model. The record is from RNAcentral.
CCCUUAGAUGUUCUGGGCCGCACGCGCGCUACACUGAUGCAUUCAACGAGUUUAUAACCUGGAUGGAGACGUCUCUGGGUAAUCUUUUAAACCUGCAUCGUGAUGGGGAUAGAUCUUUGAAAUUAUAGAUCUUCAACGAGGAAUUCCUAGUAAACGCGAGUCAUCAGCUCGCAUUGAUUACGUCCCUGCCCUUUGUACACACCGCCCGUCGCUCCUACCGAUUGAGUGGUCCGGUGAGGCUUUGGGAUCUGAGCGGAAAGAGCGUUUCGCUGUUUCUGCCCGGAAAACUCAGUCGAACCUUAUCAUUUAGAGGAAGGAGAAGUCGUAACA